AUUGAACGCUGGCGGCAGGCCUAACACAUGCAAGUCGAGCGAGCGGCGGACGGGUGAGUAAUGUCUGGGAAACUGCCUGAUGGAGGGGGAUAACUACUGGAAACGGUAGCUAAUACCGCAUACCAUCAGAUGUGCCCAGAUGGGAUUAGCUGGGUGGUGGGGUAACGGCUCACCUAGGCGACGAUCCCUAGCUGGUCUGAGAGGAUGACCAGCCACACUGGAACUGAGACACGGUCCAGACUCCUAAGGGAGGCAGCAGUAGGGAAUAUUGCACAAUGGGCGCAAGCCUGAUGGAGCCACGCCGCGUGAGUGAAGAAGGCCUUCGGGUUGGAAAGCACUUUCAGCGGGGAGGCGUUACCCGCAGAAGAAGCACCGGCUAACUCCGUGCCAGCCGCCGCGGUAAUAC
RNAcentral lists this ribosomal RNA (406 nucleotides) under uncultured bacterium. RNAcentral's name for it is "partial 16S ribosomal RNA". It matches the Rfam family "Bacterial small subunit ribosomal RNA", at positions 29 to 526 of the family's 1533-position model. The record is from RNAcentral.